AGAGAAGCAUCUACAGUGCUUGUGAGAACAAAAUGAAAUGGUUAGAGCAUUUGCCCUAUUCAUCCAGAGCUAAGCUAUAGAAACUUCAGACAAUU
Sorex araneus (European shrew) is the source of this 95-nucleotide small nucleolar RNA. Lineage: Eukaryota; Metazoa; Chordata; Mammalia; Eulipotyphla; Soricidae. The record is from Ensembl.